Long non-coding RNA from Patella vulgata (common limpet), 954 nucleotides. RefSeq lists it as uncharacterized. The transcript has 3 exons. Lineage: Eukaryota; Metazoa; Mollusca; Gastropoda; Patellidae. The record is from RefSeq and is a predicted model, not a curated record.
CUAGCAAUUAUUUGCCCAUUGACUUCAAUGUUAAAUGGCUGUAACAUCACAGGCUGUAGCUUUUUGCUCACCAUUCCGUUGUUUCCAAUCUUUAUAGGCACAAUGGGGACCACAUUUGGCAAUCUCGUCAUCAUAAUUUUGUAGGGGGUUCACCCAUUAAAUUUUUUGCUACGGGGAUUUAAUGUUGACUGGGAAAAAUUGUCUAUUUAUAAUUACUAAAAUACUAGUCUGAGUCCAUGAUAUAGACGGGUAGUGAUUGUAUGCGAUAUCAGUUCUGUUGAAGCGGACGUUAACUAAACUUAAAAAGCUAUUUCACACACACGGAUAGUAACUGUCUACGAUACCACCUUGGUGGAAGUGGACGUAAAACUCCAGGAACGAACAAAUCCAAACGGAUCAGGCCUAGUGUUUUUUUUUAUUGUCUGCGAUAUCACCCAAGGUGGAAACGGACGUGAAACCCUACGAACGAACGUAGUGUGUUUUUUUUUAUGAGUGACAGUUGUUUCCGUAAGAAGAGGAAUUGUCAACUUGAAAACUCCUAAAGAUGGGAUUACCUACAGAACGUUUGUUUCUUGUAAUAAGAACAGCAUUGUAUGCCCUCAUUUUCUUGCUGGGCAUGUUUAUAUUUUCACCAUUAUCUUUGCAGAUGAAUGUACAUGAUGGGAAUUGCAUAUUGUAUGCCGAGAGAGAAACAGACUAUCCCAGUAAAUCAAAUUGCAGUUUCUGUAUUGCCAUUGGAGUUUUGUUUUGUUUUAUAUAUGGUGGCCUCAUGACAGUAAUAGGAGCUCUCAGACUGUUUGAAAUUAUCAGCGACAGUGAAAAGUUUAAAGGAAUUUUAUUUAUCGUAAAUGUUGUAGUUGAUGCUGUAUCACUGUUUCUGGUAUUAGUUACAGCCUGUAUUUUAUCAGUAGGAUUAAAAACACUUUGUGAUAGUUUUACCCCAACUGAUUAUCA